This is a long non-coding RNA of Polyodon spathula (Mississippi paddlefish), 230 nucleotides long. RefSeq lists it as uncharacterized. The transcript has 3 exons. NCBI's taxonomy places the organism in Eukaryota, Metazoa, Chordata, Actinopteri, Acipenseriformes, Polyodontidae. The record is from RefSeq and is a predicted model, not a curated record.
AUCAUGUCCGCGUAACUAAACUAUGAAGCAAAAUAAAUAACAAUGAAACUAUAUAUUAUAUAUCAUAGAUAGAUAGAUAGAUAGAUAGAUAUCCGUCUUAAUGACGGAUGGCAAUCUGAAAGAGACGGAUUUAUUCGAGGUCUUCGUUGCCUUUUCCACAACCGCAAGAAUACGAGGUGUUUCUCUCUCAGCUGGUGUGUAAUCUGUUUGAAGAAGGCAACGCUCUCUAC